This 1866-nucleotide long non-coding RNA is filed under the name Theobroma cacao (cacao). RNAcentral's name for it is "long non-coding RNA (TCAC_LNC004048)". Lineage: Eukaryota; Viridiplantae; Streptophyta; Magnoliopsida; Malvales; Malvaceae. The record is from RNAcentral.
AAAAAAUGAGAAUGAGUUGAGUUUGAGGGGGCUGAUUUCUGCCAUUUUAAAGAGGAGAAGAGAGUUGGUUUUGCUACCAUUUUAAGGGAGAGAAAGAGCCGAUUUUGAGGAGAAAGGAGCAACUUUGGUUGUCGAUUUUGAGGAAAAAAUGAGCAGCUUUGGUUGUCGAUUUUGAGGGAGAAAAGAGGAGCUUUGUGUUACCGAUUUUGAGGGAGAAAAGAGCAGCUUUCGCUAUCAAUUUUGAAGGAGAAAAGAGCAGCUUUGUGUUGCCAAUUUUGAGAGAGAAAAGAAAGAAACUUGUUGUUGGUUUGAGAGAAAGAAAGGAAGGAAAUGGCUAUUGAUUUUGAGAGGAAGACAUGAAAGAAUUGCUGCCGGCAUAAAAGAGAAGAAAAGAUAAAGAAAGAAAGGUCGAAGAAAAUAACGAGCGACCAGUAAGAAAGAAUAGCAAGAUACACGCACGAACCAAUAGCAAAGUAACGUCUCACUAUUGUGAGGUGAGUGGGUGCUAAAUUUCAAAAACUAUAUCCCAAUAAAUAUAUUAUAUAUGUUACAUUUGAUAGUUGACGAAAUUGUGAAAAGCAUGAGUUGGUAGAAAGUCUUAGGUUGUUUUUGAUUGCAAUCAAGGAUUUUAAAUUCGUUUUUUUUUCUAUAUUAUAUAUAAGUAUAUAUCUACAUGCUUUUAAUUACUAGGAAACAAACCUUUGACUGGCUUUUCACUUCAAAAUCAUACCUUGCAAGCUUGUGUGAUGUUUGGGCCAAUGGUCAUUAAUUGAUUCAUGGGAUUUGAUUAAAAAUUUAUUAAUUUCACUUAGCAUGAUGAUUUGAUGGAUAUGCCAUGCUUUGAAAUAAAUUAUGCAUAACAUUCAAUUUAUGAUUAUAUUGCUUUUGAUCUGUCAUGUUUUGCAAAUGCAUUAAAUUGCAAUGAUUUUCAUUUUAACGUGAUUGAGAUACUUUGGGGUAAGACCUGUUACCACACCAGGUAAAGUGUGGUAUCUGUGCACAAAGUAGUAAUUGUUGAGUAUCAAUAUUUGAUUGUAAAAGGGGAACCUAAAGCCUCGAUUCAUAUUAGGUGGCGUGGGCAGUUCCCACGAGUAGGUAAAAGGGGACCGGAAGCCCCGAUUCAUAUUGUGUGGCGUGAACAGUUCCCACGAGUAGGUAAAGGGAGACCUGAAGCCCCGAUUUAUAUAUGGUGGUGUGGGCAGUUCCCACGAGUAGGUGAUGAUGUCUGAGAGAAUAAGCCUAAGGGCUAUACUAAACCUACCCGAGGAUGAUGCUCACUUGUGGAUUUUUAUUACACAAUGCAUAGCAUUAACACUUGAAAUUUACCAUUGAAUGGCAAGUGAAAUUUACAUAUUUAUUGAUGAUCAGUUAUUUCGCUUUUUUUUUUUAUGUUUAAGACUCUUCAUUCUACACUGGCCAUUGGAUUUACUGUUGACUGAAUAUCAAAAUUGAAAGAUUUUUUUUUAGUACCUUAAAUAUAACCGUUUUCAUAUAUGUUUACUUGUGAUUUAUUAUUCUUAAUACUUGCAAGGUACAAAAACAAAAUCUCUUAGUUUAACGGAAUAUGUUUUCUACACCUACUUUUGAUUUUAUAAAUAUCUCAUCUUUAUGUUUGUUUUCCCUCAUCGCCUGCUUAUGGAGCCGAUGAUCACUGAAUCUGUGAGACUCACACCCCUUUUAUUUCUCCUUUUGCAAACAGAGAAUUGGCCUAGCUUGAAAUCAUCAGUGCGUACAAUCCACCGCAAAUAGGUAAAGGCAUCUCAUAGCAUUUUAUCCGAGUCACUCCACUGUUAGAGGUCAAGUCGUAGCUCUUUGUUCAUUAAGUUGUAAACAGAUAUUGAUAUUGAUAUAAGUAAAUAAUUGGAG